RNAcentral lists this ribosomal RNA (255 nucleotides) under uncultured bacterium. RNAcentral describes it as "partial 16S ribosomal RNA". It matches the Rfam family "Bacterial small subunit ribosomal RNA", at positions 1238 to 1500 of the family's 1533-position model. The record is from RNAcentral.
UACGAGAAGGCAGCUACACGGCGACGUGAUGCUAAUCCCUAAAGCCUCUCUCAGUUCGGAUUGGAGUCUGCAACCCGACUCCAUGAAGCUGGAUUCGCUAGUAAUCGCGCAUCAGCCACGGCGCGGUGAAUACGUUCCCGGGCCUUGUACACACCGCCCGUCAAGCCAUGAAAGCCGGGGGUACCUGAAGUGCGUAACCGCGAGGAGCGCCCUAGGGUAAAACUGGUGAUUGGGGCUAAGUCGUAACAAGGUAAC